RNAcentral lists this ribosomal RNA (253 nucleotides) under uncultured bacterium. RNAcentral's name for it is "partial 16S ribosomal RNA". It matches the Rfam family "Bacterial small subunit ribosomal RNA", at positions 524 to 776 of the family's 1533-position model. The record is from RNAcentral.
UACGAAGGGGACUAGCGUUGUCCGGAAUUAUUGGGCGUAAAGAGCUCGUAGGCGGUUUGUCGCGUCUGCUGUGAAAACUCGGGGCUUAACCCCGGGCCUGCAGUGGGUACGGGCAGACUAGAGUGCGGUAGGGGAGACUGGAAUUCCUGGUGUAGCGGUGAAAUGCGCAGAUAUCAGGAGGAACACCGGUGGCGAAGGCGGGUCUCUGGGCCGUAACUGACGCUGAGGAGCGAAAGCGUGGGGAGCGAACAGG